RNAcentral lists this ribosomal RNA (1352 nucleotides) under metagenome. RNAcentral's name for it is "bacterial LSU rRNA". It matches the Rfam family "Bacterial large subunit ribosomal RNA", at positions 1586 to 2925 of the family's 2925-position model. The record is from RNAcentral.
AAAAAUCAGUGAUCCUAUGCUGCCUAGAAAAUCUUCUAGCGAGGUUCGAGCCGCCCGUACCCCAAACCGACUCAGGUGGUUAGGUAGAGAAUACCAAGGCGAUCGAGUGAAUCGUGGUUAAGGAAUUCGGCAAAAUACCCCCGUAACUUCGGGAGAAGGGGGGCCCUGAUCGUGACGGCACUUGCUGCCCGAGCGUGAUCGGCCGCAGAGACCAGGGAGAAGCGACUGUUUACUAAAAACACAGGUCCGUGCGAAGUCGCAAGACGAUAUAUACGGACUGACGCCUGCCCGGUGCUGGAAGGUUAAGAGGACGGGUUAGAUCUUAGGGUCGAAGCUCAGAAUUUAAGCCCCAGUAAACGGCGGUGGUAACUAUAACCAUCCUAAGGUAGCGAAAUUCCUUGUCGGGUAAGUUCCGACCUGCACGAAUGGCGUAACGACUUCUCCACUGUCUCAACCACGAACUCGGCGAAAUUGCACUACGAGUAAAGAUGCUCGUUACGCGCAGCAGGACGGAAAGACCCCGGGACCUUUACUAUAGCUUGGUAUUGGUGUUCGGUACGGCUUGUGUAGGAUAGGUGGGAGACUGUGAAGCAUGCACGCCAGUGUGUGUGGAGUCAACGUUGAAAUACCACUCUGGUCGUUCUGGAUAUCUAACCUCGGUCCGUGAUCCGGAUCAGGGACAGUGCCUGGUGGGUAGUUUAACUGGGGCGGUUGCCUCCUAAAAUGUAACGGAGGCGCUCAAAGGUUCCCUCAGCCUGGUUGGCAAUCAGGUUUUGAGUGUAAGUGCACAAGGGAGCUUGACUGCGAGACAGACAUGUCAAGCAGGGACGAAAGUCGGAACUAGUGACCCGGCGGUGGCUUGUGGAAGCGCCGUCGCUCGACGGAUAAAAGGUACCCCGGGGAUAACAGGCUGAUCUUGCCCAAGAGUCCAUAUCGACGGCAUGGUUUGGCACCUCGAUGUCGGCUCGUCGCAUCCUGGGGGUGUAGUCGCUCCCAAGGGUUGGGCUGUUCGCCCAUUAAAGCGGUACGCGAGCUGGGUUUAGAACGUCGUGAGACAGUUCGGUCCCUAUCCGCUGUGCGCGUUGGAAAUUUGAGAAGGGCUGACCCUAGUACGAGAGGACCGGGUUGGACGAACCUCUGGUGUGUCAGUUGUCCUGCCAAGGGCACGGCUGAUUAACUACGUUCGGAAGUGAUAACCGCUGAAAGCAUCUAAGCGGGAAGCACGCUUCAAGAUGAGAUUUCCAUGGGGUUUACCCCGAGAGGCUCCCGGCUAGACUACCGGGUUGAUAGGCCAGAUGUGUAAGUGCAGUAAUGCAUGUAGCUGACUGGUACUAAUAAGCCGAUGACUCGAA